GACGAACGCUGGCGGCGUGCUUAACACAUGCAAGUCGAGCGGUAAGGCCCUUCGGGGGUACACGAGCGGCGAACGGGUGAGUAACACGUGGGUGACCUGCCCUCAGCGUCUGGGAUAAGCCUGGGGAACCGGGUCUAAUACCGGAUAUGACUCCAUGACGCAUGUUGUGGGGUGGAAAGCCUUGUGCGGCUGAGGAUGGGCCCGCGGCCUAUCAGCUUGUUGGUGGGGUGAUGGCCUACCAAGGCGACGACGGGUAGCCGGCCUGAGAGGGCGACCGGCCACACUGGGACUGAGACACGGCCCAGACUCCUACGGGAGGCAGCAGUGGGGAAUCUUGCGCAAUGGGCGAAAGCCUGACGCAGCGACGCCGCGUGAGGGAUGACGGCCU
Molecule: ribosomal RNA, 388 nt
Filed under: uncultured bacterium
Lineage: Bacteria
Description: bacterial SSU rRNA
Rfam family: Bacterial small subunit ribosomal RNA
Source: RNAcentral